UUGCAGUUAAAAAGCUCGUAGUUGGAUUUCUGCGGGGGCGGGGCGGCCGGUUGCUUAUAGCAACUCGAGCUAGCACUUCCCCUGCAUCCUGCCGCGAACCGUGCUACCAUUAGUUUGGUGGCGCCGGGGAUCGGCUCGUUUACUUUGAGAAAAAUAGAGUGUUCAAAGCAGGCCACACGCCUUGAAUAAGUUAGCAUGGAAUAAUGAUAAAGGACUUCGGUUCUAUUUUGUUGGUGUUCGGGACUGAAGUAAUGAUUGAUAGGGACAGUUGGGGCGGUCAGUAUUCCAAAGCGAGAGGUGAAAUUCUUAGACCUUCGGAAGACUAACAGCUGCGAAAGCGUUCCGCAAGGAUGUUCCCUUUGAUCAAGAACGAAAGUUGGGGGAUCGAAGACGAUCAGAUACCGUCGUAGUCUCAACUAUAAACUAUACCAGCUAGGGAUCGGCCAACGUUUACUUAUAUCGACUUGGUCGGCACCUUAUGAGAAAUCAAAGCAUCU
Molecule: ribosomal RNA, 497 nt
Filed under: uncultured marine eukaryote
Lineage: Eukaryota
Description: SSU rRNA
Rfam family: Eukaryotic small subunit ribosomal RNA
Source: RNAcentral